AAUGAACGUUGGCGGCGUGGAUUAGGCAUGCAAGUCGAGCGCUCAUAGCAAUAUGGGAGCGGCGAACGGCGUAGUAAUGCAUCGGAACGUACCCUUCGGUCGGGGAUAGCCACGGGAAACUGUGGGUAAUACCCGAUGAUAUCUGCGGAUCAAAGGUGAGAUUCCGCCGGAGGAGCGGCUGAUGUGAUAUUAGCUUGAUGGUGGGGUAAUGGCCUACCAUGGCGAUGAUGUCUAGGGGGUGUGAGAGCAUGGCCCCCACGACCGGAACUGAGACACUGUCCGGACACCUACGGGUGGCUGCAGUCGAGAAUCUUCCGCAAUGGACGAAAGUCUGACGGAGCGACGCCGCGUGCGGGAUGAAGGCCCUUGGGUUGUAAACCGCUGUCAGAGGGGAUGAAAUCUCCGGGGGUACUCCCCCGGAGUUGACAGAGCCUCAAAGGAAGCACGGGCUAAGUACGUGCCAGCAGCCGCGGUAAAGUCUAGC
RNAcentral lists this ribosomal RNA (484 nucleotides) under uncultured bacterium. RNAcentral's name for it is "bacterial SSU rRNA". It matches the Rfam family "Bacterial small subunit ribosomal RNA", at positions 29 to 531 of the family's 1533-position model. The record is from RNAcentral.